UACGUAGGUGGCAAGCGUUGUCCGGAUUUAUUGGGUUUAAAGGGUGCGUAGGCGGCCCGGUAAGUCAGUGGUGAAAUAUCCCAGCUUAACUGGGAGGGUGGCAUUGAUACUGCGGGGCUAGAGUACAGAUGAGGUAGGCGGAAUUGACGGUGUAGCGGUGAAAUGCUUAGAUAUCGUCAAGAACACCUAUAGCGAAGGCAGCUUACUAGGCUGUAACUGACGCUGAGGCACGAAAGUGUGGGGAUCAAACAGG
Molecule: ribosomal RNA, 253 nt
Filed under: uncultured bacterium
Lineage: Bacteria
Description: partial 16S ribosomal RNA
Rfam family: Bacterial small subunit ribosomal RNA
Source: RNAcentral